GCACGGGUGUUUCGGCCAUCAAUGGCGAACGGGUGAGUAUCGCGUAGGGAUUUAUCGUUGGGUGGGGGAUAACCCUGGGAAACUGGGGCUAAUACCGCAUGACGCCUUUGGGCCAAAGCAGAGAUGUGCCUGACGAGGAGCCUGCGUCCGAUUAGGUAGUUGGUUGGGUAACGGCUGACCAAGCCUGCGAUCGGUAGCUGGUCUGAGAAAAUGAUCAGCCACACUGGGACUGAGACACGGCCCAGACUCCUACGGGAGGCAGCAGUGGGGAAUAUUGGACAAUGGGGGCAACCCUGAUCCAGCAAUGCCGCGUGGAUGAAGAAGGUCUUCGGAUUGUAAAGUCCUUUCGGCGGGGACGAUGAUGAGCGGUACCCGCAGAAGAAGCCCCGGCUAACUUCGUG
Molecule: ribosomal RNA, 401 nt
Filed under: uncultured bacterium
Lineage: Bacteria
Description: bacterial SSU rRNA
Rfam family: Bacterial small subunit ribosomal RNA
Source: RNAcentral